UACGUAGGGUCCGAGCGUUGUCCGGAAUUACUGGGCGUAAAGAGCUCGUAGGUGGUUUGUCGCGUUGUUCGUGAAAACUCACAGCUCAACUGUGGGCGUGCGGGCGAUACGGGCAGACUUGAGUACUGCAGGGGAGACUGGAAUUCCUGGUGUAGCGGUGGAAUGCGCAGAUAUCAGGAGGAACACCAGUGGCGAAGGCGGCGACCUGGACAGAUAUUGACGCUGAGGUGCGAAAGCGUGGGGAGCAAACAGG
RNAcentral lists this ribosomal RNA (253 nucleotides) under uncultured bacterium. RNAcentral's name for it is "partial 16S ribosomal RNA". It matches the Rfam family "Bacterial small subunit ribosomal RNA", at positions 524 to 776 of the family's 1533-position model. The record is from RNAcentral.